UGGGCCAGGCGACGGUUGUCCUGGUUCAAGUGCGUAGGCUUGAGAGUUAGGUAAAUCCGGCUCUCUCUAAGGCUGAGACACGACGUCGAGCUACUACGGUAGUGAAGUCAUUGAUGCCAUGCUUCCAGGAAAAGCCUCUAAGCUUCAGAUAGUCAGGAAUCGUACCCCAAACCGACACAGGUGGUCGGGUAGAGAAUACCAAGGCGCUUGAGAGAACUCGGGUGAAGGAACUAGGCAAAAUGGUACCGUAACUUCGGGAGAAGGUACGCUCUUGAUGGUGAAGUCCCUCGCGGAUGGAGCUGACGAGAGUCGCAGAUACCAGGUGGCUGCAACUGUUUAUUAAAAACACAGCACUGUGCAAAAUCGCAAGAUGACGUAUACGGUGUGACGCCUGCCCGGUGCCGGAAGGUUAAUUGAUGGGGUUAGCGCAAGCGAAGCUCUUGAUCGAAGCCCCGGUAAACGGCGGCCGUAACUAUAACGGUCCUAAGGUAGCGAAAUUCCUUGUCGGGUAAGUUCCGACCUGCACGAAUGGCGUAAUGAUGGCCACGCUGUCUCCACCCGAGACUCAGUGAAAUUGAAAUCGCUGUGAAGAUGCAGUGUACCCGCGGCUAGACGGAAAGACCCCGUGAACCUUUACUACAGCUUGGCACUGAACAUUGAACCUACAUGUGUAGGAUAGGUGGGAGGCUAUGAAGACGUGACGCCAGUUGCGUUGGAGCCGUCCUUGAAAUACCACCCUUGUAUGUUUGAUGUUCUAACUUAGACCCAUUAUCUGGGUUGAGGACAGUGCCUGGUGGGUAGUUUGACUGGGGCGGUCUCCUCCCAAAGAGUAACGGAGGAGCACGAAGGUGGGCUAAUCACGGUUGGACAUCGUGAGGUUAGUGCAAUGGCAUAAGCCCGCUUAACUGCGAGAAUGACGGUUCGAGCAGGUGCGAAAGCAGGUCAUAGUGAUCCGGUGGUUCUGUAUGGAAGGGCCAUCGCUCAACGGAUAAAAGGUACUCCGGGGAUAACAGGCUGAUACCGCCCAAGAGUUCAUAUCGACGGCGGUGUUUGGCACCUCGAUGUCGGCUCAUCACAUCCUGGGGCUGAAGUCGGUCCCAAGGGUAUGGCUGUUCGCCAUUUAAAGUGGUACGCGAGCUGGGUUUAGAACGUCGUGAGACAGUUCGGUCCCUAUCUGCCGUGGGCGUUGGAAGAUUGAAGGGGGCUGCUCCUAGUACGAGAGGACCGGAGUGGACGAACCUCUGGUGUUCGGGUUGUGUCGCCAGACGCAUUGCCCGGUAGCUAAGUUCGGAAUUGAUAAGCGCUGAAAGCAUCUAAGCGCGAAGCGAGCCCUGAGAUGAGUCUUCCCUGACAGUUUAACUGUCCUAAAGGGUUGUUCGAGACUAGAACGUUGAUAGGCAGGGUGUGUAAGCGUUGUGAGGCGUUGAGCUAACCUGUACUAAUUGCCCGUGAGGCUUAACCAUACAACACCCAAGGGGUUUUGUA
Molecule: ribosomal RNA, 1485 nt
Filed under: Vibrio cholerae
Lineage: Bacteria; Pseudomonadati; Pseudomonadota; Gammaproteobacteria; Vibrionales; Vibrionaceae
Description: partial 23S ribosomal RNA
Rfam family: Bacterial large subunit ribosomal RNA
Source: RNAcentral